CUUCAAUACUGUCUCUCCUGAAAACAUUGUAGCCAGGCACAAUCAAAGCAGCACAUGGAGAGUUUGUAUGGAGCCAUGUCUCUGAGAGGCAGAGGAAGUCAAGGUUGGAGUCUGGGCAGUUCGGUAGCGGAAUUAACAAUCCCUCCCGCUUGCACUGGAUGUGGGGAACUACUUAAAACAGCUUGCGUACCAGAAGCAAAGUCAGGGUUCGCAUAUAGCGGCUUGGGUAUGUUUGAAGAGUCCAAAUCUAUCCUGGAGCUGGGUGAAUCGAGAGAAACCAUGGGACGAUAGCACUCACCCACUUCCACAGCGGCGAUGAUCUGUGGACGAGGCCAUCCCCUGCUUUCCACUCCGACCAGGCUCCCAGAACGUUAAGUCAGACGGAUUGUCCCGGAGGAGCGGCCCAUGGAUCCCACUCCCAUACUCCCCGCCUCUUGCCUGGUGGCGCCGGUAGUGUGGGAGCUGGACGCGGACAUUGAGUAGGCGUUACGUGCAGAGCCCGCUCCCCUCCAGUGUCCAGCUGGGCGUCAGUACGUUCCGUCUGCUGUCCGCGACCGAUUGAUCUACUGGGCCCACACGUUACCCUCCUCUGGUCAUCCUGGGAUCGGUCGGACGGUGCGCUGUCGUAGUGGGAAGUACUGGUGGCCCACUUUGGCUAAGGAUGUGAGGGUUUAUGUUUCCUCCUGCUCGGUGUGCACCCAGUGUAAGGCUCCCAGGCACCUGCCCAGAGGGUAACACUACGAUCCUGGUCGUUGUCCCUUUGCCCGGUCUCCCUACGGCCCUACAGACUGCGGAGGCCCUGUUUACACACGUCUUCCGGCACUACAGGGUGCCUGAGGAUAUGAUCGAGGUCCCCAGUUCACGUCGAGGGUCUGGAGGGCAUUCAUGGAAUGUCUGGGGGUCUCAGUCAGCCUUACCUCAGGUUUUCACCACGAGAGUAAUGGGCAGGGGGAGAGAGUUAACCAGGAUGUGGGUAGGUUUCUGAGGUCUUAUUGCCAGGACUGGUCGGGGGAGUGGGCAGCGUUCGUGCCCUGUGCAGAGAUGGCCCAGAACUCGCUCCGCCACUCCUCCACUCCUCCACUAACCUCUCUCCCUUCCAGUGUGUAUUGGGGUAUCAGCCGGUUCUGGCUCCUUGGCAUCAGAGUCAGACCGAGGCUCCUGUGGUGGACGACUGGUUCCGGUGCGCGGAGGAAACAUGGGACGCCGCCCAUGUCCACCUUCAGCGUGCCGUGCUGCGCCAGAAGAAUGGGAGAAACUCCCCAAAUACAGCUGAAGACAACACCAAUGAAGACAUGUCAGACCACCAGACGGGUCCAUCUCAGCAAAUAAGAGCCCAGCGUUGCUCUAGCCAGUGAUCAGUUUGUCUUCUCCCGUCAAGGCCUACAAGCGUGUUCCCGUAUUUCCUGUGCUCUAGUUUUGUUUUUCCUAAUCUUCCCAGUUUUGACCAUUCUGCCUGCCCUGACCCUGAGCCUGCCUGUCUGACGUUCUGUACCUUUCUGACACUGCCCUGGAUUACUGACAUCUGCCUGCCCUGACCCUGAGCCUGCCUGCCGUUCUGUACUUUACUGACUCUGCCCUGGAUUACUGACCUCUGCCUGCCCUUGACCUGUCGUUUGCCUGUCCCGUUUUCAAAAAAAAACAUCUGUGAUUCGAACUGUUUGCAUCUGGGUCUUAUCCUGAGUCUCGAUACAGAUGACUGGUCAAGCCAUGAACUUUCUAAUGACUGUCCAUCUCAUGAUGUUGUGAUGUUGUUUUUCUAAAUCUCUUCUUUUGUGUUUUGAAGUGCUUAGAGAUUCUUUGAAAAGCACUAUAUAAGUUCAAUAAAUUAUAAUUCUCAUUAACUCUCUAAAUGGCUCUGCAACAACCUUGUAACAUCAUCUCAGUACUACAACAACCUUAUAACAUCAUUAUGACAUCAUCUCAGUGCAAAAAAACCUUGUUACAACCUUGUGUUGUGACUUUGUGGUUGCCUUGGCAGAGAGCUGCUGU
This 1989-nucleotide long non-coding RNA is filed under the name Salmo salar (Atlantic salmon). RNAcentral describes it as "lncRNA (ENSSSAG00000090229.1)". The record is from RNAcentral. Lineage: Eukaryota; Metazoa; Chordata; Actinopteri; Salmoniformes; Salmonidae.